Molecule: non-coding RNA, 116 nt
Organism: Triticum aestivum (bread wheat)
Lineage: Eukaryota; Viridiplantae; Streptophyta; Magnoliopsida; Poales; Poaceae
Source: Rfam
UACGUACUCCCUCUGUUUGAAAUUACUUUGUCGUAGAAAUAGAUGUAUCUAGAUGUAUUUUAGUUCUAGAUACAUUUAUUUUCAAGACAAGUAAUUUCAAACGGAAGGAGUAGUAU